AGCAGUAGCCGCGGGAAUACAGAGGUGCCAAGCGUUAGGCGGAAUCACUGGGCUUAAAGCGUGUGUAGGCGGAUCCAUAAGUACCUUGUGAAAUCCCACGGCUUAACCGUGGAACUGCUCGGUAUACUGUGGAUCUUGAGCCAGCUAGGGGCUACCGGAACAAGUGGUGGAGCGGUGAAAUGCGUAGAUAUCACUUGGAACGCCAAUGGUGAAAACAGGUAGCUGGGGCUGUGCUGACGCUGAGAUACGAAAGCCAGGGGAGCGAACGGGAUUAGAUACCCCGGUAGUCCCUGUCUCUUAUAC
RNAcentral lists this ribosomal RNA (303 nucleotides) under uncultured bacterium. Its description in RNAcentral is "partial 16S ribosomal RNA". It matches the Rfam family "Bacterial small subunit ribosomal RNA", at positions 507 to 807 of the family's 1533-position model. The record is from RNAcentral.